Molecule: ribosomal RNA, 1299 nt
Filed under: Raptrix fusca
Lineage: Eukaryota; Metazoa; Arthropoda; Insecta; Mantodea; Acanthopidae
Description: 16S ribosomal RNA
Rfam family: Archaeal large subunit ribosomal RNA (bases 1050-1209)
Source: RNAcentral
AUAAUUAAUAAAAUUGUAUUAAUUUAUUAAAAAUUUUUCUGUUAAAAUAAGAAAAUUAGAAUCUUUGUAUAAAAAUAGAUAAGAUGAACUAUACUAUAGUAUAUAAGUAUUGUAAAAGAAAUAUUAGAUUUAUAAUUAAGAAAAGAUGAUUUAUUUAAUUGUAUCUUGUGUUUCAGAGUAUAUUAAAAUUAAUUAUAAAUGUUCUUUAUCUCGAAUUUAAAGGAUUUAAUUAAAUGAUUUAAUUAUUAUGUCAAAAAUAUUAAAAACAUUUAAUUGGUAAUGAGAUGUUAUUCGUUUUUAAAGAUAUCUAGUUUUUUAAAAAAUGAAUAUAAUUCAUAAGGCAUUAAAUUACUUUUUAUUUAUUAUAAAGUAUUUAUUGUUUUAACUUUUUUUGGGGAAAAGCUUGGAAAAAUAUAAUUAUAAUAGUAUUAUUUAUUAGGGUUUAAUAAAUUUAGAAUUUGUUUUUAAUUAAAAUAUGUUAAAAUUUAUCUCUAAUUAAUAAAAAUUUAAAAAUUAUUUAAGAUUUUUAUUAAAAUAUUAAGAAAAACUUAAAAUUUUUGGUAUUUAUGAUUUAAUUAGUAAAUGAUAUAAAUAUUGUAUAAUAAUUAAUAAUAAUUUAUUGUGAAGAAUUAGGCAAAUUGUUUACUCGCCUGUUUAAUAAAAACAUGGUUUCUUGUAAUGUAUAGGAAAUUUAACCUGCCCACUGAAUAUAUUUAAAGGGCCGCAGUAAUUUGACUGUGCAAAGGUAGCAUAAUCAUUAGUCUUUUAAUUGGAGGCUGGAAUGAAUGGUUGGACGAGGUAAAAGCUAUUUUAUAUUAAAAUAUUGAAUUUUGAUUUUAAGUAAAAAUACUUAAAUGCUAUUAAGGGACGAGAAGACCCUAUAGAAUUUAAUAAAUGUAAUUUUAAUUAAGUUUUGAAUAAAUUUUUGAUUAUUAUAAAAUUUAUUUAAUUGGGGUGAUAAAAAGAUAAUUAAACUCUUUUUUAGUUUAAAUUUAAAUAAAAAGAAAAAUGAUCCAUUUAUAUUGAUUAUAAGAUUAAAUUACCUUAGGGAUAACAGCAUAAUUUCUUUUAAGAGUUCUUAUCAAAAAAGAAGAUUAUGACCUCGAUGUUGGAUUAAGAUAAAUUUUGGGUGUAGAUGUUCAUACAAUUAGGUCUGUUCGACCUUUAAAAUCUUACAUGAUCUGAGUUUAAACCGGUGUGAACCAGGUUGGUUUCUAUCUUUAAAAAAAUGAUAUAUUUUAGUACGAGAGGACCAAAUAUAUAAAAUAAUUUUAUCUUAUUGAUUUUCAAUAAGUUGGU